AUUGAACGCUGGCGGCAGGCCUAACACAUGCAAGUCGAGCGGAUGAAGGGAGCUUGCUCCUGGCUUCAGCGGCGGACGGGUGAGUAAUGCCUAGGAGUCUGCCUUGUAGUGGGGGAUAACGUCCCGAAACGGGCGCUAAUACCGCAUACGUCCUGAUGUAGAAAGUGGGGGAUCUUCGGACCUCUCGCUAUCAGCUGAGCCUAGGUCGGAUUAGCUCGUUGGUGGGGUAACGGCGUACCAAGGCGACGAUCCGUAACUGGUCUGAGAGGCUGAUCAGUCACCCUGGAACUGAGACACGGUCCAGACUCCUACGGGAGGCAGCAGUGGGGAAUAGUGGACAAUGGGCGAAAGCCUGAUCCAGCCAUGCCGAGUGUGUGAAGAAGGUCUUCGGAUUGUAAAGCACUUUAAGUUGGGAGGAAGGGAAGUAAGUUAAUACCUUGCUGUUUUGACGGUACCAACAGAAAAAGCAACGGCUAACUUCGUG
Molecule: ribosomal RNA, 484 nt
Filed under: uncultured bacterium
Lineage: Bacteria
Description: partial 16S ribosomal RNA
Rfam family: Bacterial small subunit ribosomal RNA
Source: RNAcentral